RNAcentral lists this long non-coding RNA (562 nucleotides) under Marmota monax (woodchuck). The record is from RNAcentral. Lineage: Eukaryota; Metazoa; Chordata; Mammalia; Rodentia; Sciuridae.
GAAUUCCUUGUGUAUUAAGAUGUUUUUACCUUGUUUGUCAUCUUUGUAAUAACCACCUCUCUGCUUCCUCUUUUAAUGAGGUAACUACUUCAAAAAUGUGCUAGCAUCAACUUCCUUAACAAGACCCCCAAAGUGCAAGAAAUAAAAGCAAGAAUCAAUAAAUGGGAUGUCAUUAAAUAAAAACCUUCACAGGAAAGGAAACGAUUAAGAGCAUGAAGAGAGAGCCUAUAGGAUGGGAGAAAAUCUUGGCCAGCUAUCCCUCUGAUAGGGGAUUAAUAUCCAGAAUAUACAAAGAACUCAAAACCUUCACACCAAUAAUAAUAAUAAUAAUAAUAAUAAUAAUAAUAAUAAUAAUAAUAAUAAUAUUAUUAUCAUUCAAUCAAUAAAUGGGCACAUGAACUAAACAAAAACUUUACACCAAAAAAAUCAAUAAAUGGGCAAAAGAACUAAACAAAAACUUCACACAAUAAAUAUCUAAAAAAAAUCAACAACUCUAGCAAUCAAGGAAAUGCAAAUCAAAACUACAUUAAGAUUUCAUCUCAUUCUAGUCAGAAUAUCAAUG